RNAcentral lists this ribosomal RNA (196 nucleotides) under uncultured bacterium. RNAcentral describes it as "partial 16S ribosomal RNA". It matches the Rfam family "Bacterial small subunit ribosomal RNA", at positions 1303 to 1500 of the family's 1533-position model. The record is from RNAcentral.
GGCUGAAAUUCGCCUUCAUGAAGCCGGAAUUGCUAGUAAUGGCAGGUCAGCAUACUGCCGUGAAUACGUUCCCGGGCCUUGUACACACCGCCCGUCACACCAUGAGAGUUGGGAAUACCCGAAGCCUGUGAGCUAACGAAAGAGGCAGCAGUCGAAGGUAGAAUCAAUGAUUGGGGUGAAGUCGUAACAAGGUAUC